This 440-nucleotide ribosomal RNA is filed under the name uncultured bacterium. RNAcentral's name for it is "partial 16S ribosomal RNA". It matches the Rfam family "Bacterial small subunit ribosomal RNA", at positions 338 to 795 of the family's 1533-position model. The record is from RNAcentral.
CCUACGUGAGGCAGCAGUGGGGAAUAUUGCACAAUGGGGGAAACCCUGAUGCAGCGACGCCGCGUGAGUGAAGAAGUAAUUCGUUAUGUAAAGCUCUAUCAGCAGGGAAGAAAAUGACGGUACCUGAGUAAGAAGCCCCGGCUAACUACGUGCCAGCAGCCGCGGUAAUACGUAGGGGGCAAGCGUUAUCCGGAUUUACUGGGUGUAAAGGGAGCGUAGACGGCAGGGCAAGUCUGGAGUGAAAGGCGGGGGCUCAACCCCCGGACUGCUCUGGAAACUGUACGGCUGGAGUGCAGGAGAGGUAAGUGGAAUUCCUAGUGUAGCGGUGAAAUGCGUAGAUAUUAGGAGGAACACCAGUGGCGAAGGCGGCUUACUGGACUGUAACUGACGUUGAGGCUCGAAAGCGUGGGGAGCAAACAGGAUUAGAUACCCGGGUAGUC